AGGGGCGGCAGCCUACACAUGCAAGUCGAACGGCAGCACAGGAGAGCUUGCUCUCUGGGUGGCGAGUGGCGGACGGGUGAGGAAUACAUCGGAAUCUACUCUGUCGUGGGGGAUAACGUAGGGAAACUUACGCUAAUACCGCAUACGACCUACGGGUGAAAGGAGGGGACCUUCGGGCCUUGCGCGAUUGAAUGAGCCGAUGUCGGAUUAGCUAGUUGGCGGGGUAAAGGCCCACCAAGGCGACGAUCCGUAGCUGGUCUGAGAGGAUGAUCAGCCACACUGGAACUGAGACACGGUCCAGACUCCUACGGGAGGCAGCAGUGGGGAAUAUUGGACAAUGGGCGCAAGCCUGAUCCACCCAUACCGCGUGGGUGAAGAAGGCCUUCGGGUUGUAAAGCCCUUUUGUUGGGAAAGAAAUCCAGCUGGCUAAUACCCGGUUGGGAUGACGGUACCCAAAGAAUAAGCACCGGCUAACUUCGUGCCAGCAGCCGCGGUAAUACGAAGGGUGCAAGCGUUACUCGGAAUUACUGGGCGUAAAGCGUGCGUAGGUGGUCGUUUAAGUCCGUUGUGAAAGCCCUGGGCUCAACCUGUGAACUGCAGUGGAUACUGGGCGACUAGAGUGUGGUAGAGGGUAGCGGAAUUCCUGGUGUAGCAGUGAAAUGCGUACAGAUCAGGAGGAACAUCCAUGGCGAAUGCAGCUACCUGGACCACCACUGACACUGAGGCACGAAAGCGUGGGGAGCAAACAGGAUUACAUACCCUGGUAGUCCACGCCCUAAACGAUGCGAACUGUAUGUUGGGUGCAAUUUGUCACGCAGUAUCUAAGCUCACGCGUUAACUUCCCCGCCUGGGGGAGUACGGUCGCGAGACUGCAAACUCAAAAGCAAUUGACGGGGGGCUCGGCACCACGCGGCGGAGUAUGUGGUUUAAUUCUAUGCAACGCGAAGAGCCUUACCUGUCUUGACGUGGUCGAGUAGCUUUACAGAGAUGGAGUAGUGUCUUUCGUGGACUCGAACACAAGAGCUGCAUGCUGUCGUCAGUCGUGUCUGACAUGUAGGGAUGAGUACCGCAACGAGCGCUAUCCCUCGCUCUACUGCUAUCAUGUAUGACUGCAGCUCGUAGGGAGACGUCAUGACGAAGCGACGAGAGGAUGACGCUAGGUCAUCAUGUUCCCUACGGCUAGCUCACACUGAGCUCAGUGUUACGGUCAGUAGGUGUGAGUCGGCA
This 1227-nucleotide ribosomal RNA is filed under the name Stenotrophomonas pavanii. Its description in RNAcentral is "bacterial SSU rRNA". It matches the Rfam family "Bacterial small subunit ribosomal RNA", at positions 38 to 1259 of the family's 1533-position model. The record is from RNAcentral. Lineage: Bacteria; Pseudomonadati; Pseudomonadota; Gammaproteobacteria; Lysobacterales; Lysobacteraceae.